Molecule: ribosomal RNA, 524 nt
Filed under: Lactiplantibacillus plantarum
Lineage: Bacteria; Bacillati; Bacillota; Bacilli; Lactobacillales; Lactobacillaceae
Description: bacterial SSU rRNA
Rfam family: Bacterial small subunit ribosomal RNA
Source: RNAcentral
ACAGAUGCUAAUACCGCGUAACAACGUGUGGACCGCAUGGUCCGAGCUUGGAAGAUGGCUUCGGCUAUCACUUUUGGAUGGUCCCGCGGCGUAUUAGCUAGAUGGUGGGGUAACGGCUCACCAUGGCAAUGAUACGUAGCCGACCUGAGAGGGUAAUCGGCCACAUUGGGACUGAGACACGGCCCAAACUCCUACGGGAGGCAGCAGUAGGGAAUCUUCCACAAUGGACGAAAGUCUGAUGGAGCAACGCCGCGUGAGUGAAGAAGGGUUUCGGCUCGUAAAACUCUGUUGUUAAAGAAGAACAUAUCUGAGAGUAACUGUUCAGGUAUUGACGGUAUUUAACCAGAAAGCCACGGCUAACUACGUGCCAGCAGCCGCGGUAAUACGUAGGUGGCAAGCGUUGUCCGGAUUUAUUGGGCGUAAAGCGAGCGCAGGCGGUUUUUUAAGUCUGAUGUGAAAGCCUUCGGCUCAACCGAAGAAGUGCAUCGGAAACUGGGAAACUUGAGUGCAGAAGAGGACAGUGG